Xenopus tropicalis (tropical clawed frog) is the source of this 5805-nucleotide long non-coding RNA. RefSeq lists it as uncharacterized. Lineage: Eukaryota; Metazoa; Chordata; Amphibia; Anura; Pipidae. The transcript has 2 exons. The record is from RefSeq and is a predicted model, not a curated record.
CUUUUAUGUCAGCUAAAAAUCAUUUGAACAUGAAAUAAACCCAAAAUGGAUUCAUGCAGCUUUAGUUGGCCAUACACUCAUUUGGUGAUUUUUCCCUGCUAUGUCCACCUUUAGUCAGGAUCAAGUAAAAGUACUGAUUUAUUAUGUAGAGAAAGGAAAUUCUUUAAAAUUAGAUUUAUUUAAUUAAAGUGGCAUCUAUUGGAGAUGGCCUUCCUGUUAUUUGGACAUUUCUGCAAAAUGGGUUUCCAAAUAAGGGAUCCCAUACUGACCUAUCUCGAUACACUCACAUACAUAACCCAUAUAUACUCUCUCUGACCAGAUGAAGCACCUAUGUUUUCCCACUCCUCAAGCCUAAGUAUCUGAGUUCUUCUUUCUUCCCCCAGCACCUGUAUGCAUUCCCUCCAUGUAUUGAAUCUGUAUUCUUCCUCCCAAGCUCGGGUAGCUGUAUUCUGCCUAUUUAUCUGCAUUCCCUCCUGUAGUUAUAGUAUCUGUACUCUGUGUCAGGCAUGUACAUCCUACUCGUCUAGUUAUGGAUUCUGCAUUCUCUCUCUUCAGCAUCUCUGUUCUCCCUUUGUAUCUCCAGCAUCUCUAUUCACCCUCUUUAUCUCCAGCAUCUGUAUUCUCCCACUUUGUCUCCAGCAUCUGUAUUCUCCCACUUUGUCUCCAGCAUCUGUAUUCUCCCCUGGGGCACGUCUGAGUAAAGGUCAGCCUUCAGGACCAGACUCAGGGGAGGACAGGCAGGAGUUAUGUCAGGGGCUCAGUGAAAUAAGGGGGACUGAAUGGCUGAAAAAGGGAUAUGGUUUGGGUGGAUUGGGGGGCGUGGCUGCAUGGGUCAGAGGUGGGGCAAAAGGGGCCCCAUUGCUUUCUAUAGCACCCCUGUCCACCUAUCACUGUUACAGGGGCUUCAGACACCACUUUUUUUAUUGUGGGAAGUGGUGACAGCAGUGGCAUUAUGAUUAUGGACCCCACAACUGUGGACAUCUCGGGGCUAUAGUUGAAAGGGGACCCGGUAGGGACCAGAAGAGCCUUGGCUUGCAGGUUGUAUGAAGAAGAGGGGUCACAUUGCCCCAGGGCAUGUAUAGCAGAAACAAGAAAAAAACCUGCUAUGUUUACAUUGCAUUUAUAUUAUCUUUUUCACUUAGGCUUCUUCUUGUUCCCAGUAUCAUUGCAAAAAAAGGAAUAACCGGUUACCACUUUGGCUUCAUAAACCCUGAACUAAUGGAACCAGCCAGAGAAAAUAGGGAUUAUUUGUGCAAAUCAUUAGAUUGAUGUUUAACAAGAGAAGAGGUCGGUGCCUGCGCGUCCCAGCCUGUUAAUGAGUGACAGCCAGUGCCUAUAGCAGCAGUGUGGGAGUGGAAUGUACUGAAAUGGAUCACUAGGUUUUUGCCAGAAGGACCAGAACAAACAGGUUCCCCAGUUCAGGCUGGCAGUUACAGGAAAGGGGCCUGUAGGGAUGUAGGAAGGGGAAAUAACAUAAACCUGGGACAUCCAGUUUUCUAAAUGUGGGAAUAUUUUUCUCUAUGGUCACAGGGUCCCUGAGUUCCUGCCCUCUAAUCCACGCCCACUCAUCCCUAAAUGUGGAAAAGAUCUUAUUAUAUAUGAUCCCGGGCCCCCCUGGGCCCCUGCUGCAGGCCAACCACCUGCUGUCCUUGCACCUGUGUUGCUAUCCUGGUACUGAACGCCACUAUAGAAAAACAAGAACCCGUUGGUAAUGACCGAAAGGGUUACCACCAGGUAUUGGGCAUCCCAGCAAGUGCCACACUACUUCCUCCUUGCAAACGUGAUCGGGGUGGGGGUGAAGCACCCAAAGUACCUGCCAGCGAGCACACCUUGGUUGGCAGGGCCCACAAGGUUAUUCCCCAGUCUGACCCUGGCCCCUCCAGGAGGGCAAGCUUUGCAGUUGCAGAACCAGUGCAGUAGGCAGUUGUCUCGCCUCGGCCUGGAAACCACAUCAAGAUCAACACUUGGCUCCACAACAGUCUUUUUUGUUCCCCAAAACCUGGGGAAGAUGGCCUGCUGGGUGCAUAUCCCUAGGCCCCUCAGCAGUAUAGCAAUAUACUAGACAGGACAAGACUGAGCAGAUAUUUCCUUUAUAUUUUCAAUCAUUGUCAGUCUUUGAGGGCCAACAUUAUUCAUUGCCACUUUGGUAUAAUGGAUAGGAAGGAAUCACCCAUUGGGGCACAGUGAGCACGGCCAACGCAUAGCCCAAUAACAAAUAAACAUUUUGCUUUCGUUUAUUUCUGUACUUUGUGUCGUGCUGAGAGAAGUGUCACUGAGAGGGUGUAUUGUUGUCACGUAUAGUGACUGGUGACAUUGUCCUGACUAUGCCACUCUGCGGGUGGUGCUGUGUGUUGAAUGAAUCCCUUAUCUUGCACCCAUAUGGUGGCCAAGCUUAUUCCCAGAUGGACACGGGAUGCUGAGCAGCCAUGGGAGGUCACAGAGAGGGAAAGGAAGGCAAGCACGGAGCCGCAAGUCUAUGUCACACACUCGGCUCCAGCCAUGGCUGUCACUGCGCAGGAACAGAUUUUGUUGUGACAGUGUUUGUGGCAUGAUGUGAUUGCCUGACAGCUUAAGGAUGGAGUCAAUGUAAACAAACAUUUUACUAAUCCGCCCAUUAGCAUCUGCACAAGCCUGGUCGCCCCAGCUGGUGGCCCUAUAACCCUCUGUGUGCCAGAAAGGACUUGUGUGCCUGCCAAGGGGUUUGUCACCAGCUGCUGAGGGAUCAUAUGUACUGUACUGACCAUCACACAGACACAGCCACUCACACAGAUAUGAACACACAUGCAGGCACACACAAUUAUACAUGUGUACAACAAUAUGUCUUGCUCUGUCUUGGUGCUCAGAUCCACCCAAAAAUGGAGAUUAAGGAGCCUUAGUAAAAAUAAAUGGGAAUGAGCAGCAAAAGGUUAUGCACCCCAAUAUGGGUUGUGGUACCCCCUAGUGCCACCUCAACUCUUGGCAUUGCAACUACCAUAGAUCUCGACUUUGGUUCACUAUUAUAUAUGUGUCCAGUUUUAAGAGGUAAUUUCUGACUGCAAACACAGCACUGAAAGGAGAACUGUUGCGCCUAUUAAUGCCUGGAGCUGCCACCACCUCCAAACUAGGCGGUAGAAUUGUCCUGCGUCAAUAGGUACAGUGCAGAUGCACCAAAAAAAUGUGGCACACAUCACUCUCAUGUAGAAUGCCAACUGGACUUUCAGUGCAAUUGCAUAAGGUACAAUGGGCAGGAAAAACACUUGGAGAUUCUAUUAGCUGGGGGGGUGGGGGUGCUCAACAUAUCUGAGCCCCAGUAAAUCAGGGCUUUCUUGUCCUCUGGAGAACAAAAGCUAAGCUAAGUUAAGUUAGGACCCUUUUUGUGAACAGGUGGGGCUGAAUUAGGGGGUGAAGUGGCAGGGCUGAAUUAGGGAGGUUCAGUGGUGGGGCUGAAUUUGGGGGUGCAGUGGUUGGCCUUUAUUGCAGUAUUGGAGCUGAAAUGGGGGUGUAGUGGUGGAGCUGAAGCUGAAUUUGGUGGUGCAGCAGUUGGGCUGAAUUAGGGGUGCAGUGAUGGGGCUGAAUUUGGGGGUUGCAGUGGUACAUUUCAGGAAAGAGGCCACUCCAGGGGUCAUUAAUAGGUACAUGGUUUUUGUUCUCUAAGCCUUCCUGGAUGUUUUAGCAUAGACAUGUUUGAUGGGUGCUAAACAAAGAGCAGCCGCCAUAUACUGAUAUGAAUACCAUAAAAUAGCCCUCUUCCUUUCUUUGAAGCUUUAAUCACCCCUGUUGAUGCUAGGAUCCCACCCAGGCUAUUAUGGGGCAGGAGGAGGCAGUUACCAAUUAGUCCCCCAUAUCUUCCCUUGGGCUUCGCUGUUGAUCACUGCUAUAAUGUCCGACAGGUUUCUCUUGUGCAAGUGAGACGCCACCAUUCCCAGCUCUAUGUGAGCGCAGGCCUCUCGCUGCAUUCUUUUUAGCUCACCAAAUCCCAGCUCAGCCAAUGGAUUUCAUAUCUGGGCACAGGAGAUCUCUCCCUAGUUAGUGAGUGCUGGAAUUUUGAGCUGGCAGCACAGAGCCCAACGCUGAUACUCCGAGCCAUACAAAUCCCCAACGGCUCAUGGGAUUCUCAAAUACAAUCUCUUCCCUGUUUACCUUUUAUCCUUUAAUUCAAUGCAUGUGACUAAUUAGCUAACGAAUGUUCAGGAAAAUGAUGAUAAAGAUAUUGCUGAGCCGCUGCCUUUGCCGAACGCCUGAAAUGCUUUGUACUGAGUUCAACUCCAGCCACGAGCAGAAAGGGGUUUGAUCAACGCAGAUAAAUGGGACCACAAUCCUCUGUGAUGUCAUCUCAUCUUGAUUGGAUCCAUUUGCCUGUGACAGGCUGAGUUCUAUGAGAACAGAUGCACCCACUUAGCUGUACUUUAUACUUGGAUCGUGGGAGAAUGUAUAGAUAAGGAGGCCAUACACUGCCAGAUUGGAUUGGCCACUUUUUGUCAUUCCCUCUAUACUGCCAAACCUAUAUGGGCAGCUCUGUCUACAUGUUCAGGCUCAUAGGUGGUGGAUAAUUUUUGUGUUUGGGGCUGGAAGUAGGGGCAGAGAGGCUCCUGAUUAGGGUCCAGGGGUAGGGGGCGCAAUUGAUGGGGCUGUAAAUGGAAUAAAUGAUUGUAGGGAUUACUCUAAAACGGCUCCAGGGUUGGACUGGGGUGUGUGAGACCCACUGGGGUUGCUACCGACAACCCCUCAGGGGCCCCAACCUCCCGGGCACCCACCGCCAGCCCUUUCCCCACACAUGCAUACCUUAUACACUACGCCGUGGUUGGGGGUAGGAGGGCAGUGAUGGCAGUGAUGGCAGGUUGGGACUGGAUCUGGGUUGGUGGAGCCCAUGAGAAUCAAGGCCCACCGCGUUUUUUCCCAGUGUUCCUCCAACCCAGUCCGACCCUGAUUGGCUCAUAGCCUCUACACAGAGAUACCAUAAAACUAAAGCCCAAUUUCGGUUAGGCUGAAUUAGACUAUAAUGCCUGGUCACCUGGACAAUCAGGAAGACGGUCAGACCAUUAAUAUGGCAAUCCUGGUCAAUGGGGCGCAGGAGACCAGGGCCAAUGUUUAACAUCUGAUGUGGCACGGGGGCAGUGCGAAUGCUGCAGAUGGAGGGAGUGCCGCAGCUCAGUAAAGAUCCACUGAAGAGAAGCCACCCUGAGAGGAACCCGUGAGAGAGCAAGUGAGGCAUGAAGCAAAACAUGCCAUGGCGCCAGAUAGAAAACAUGCACCGGGGUCACAGAUCAUGUCAUCUGCAAACAUGGCUAACUGCAAAGAGAGAAGCUGUAGGGAGUAAAUACAGUAGGCAGGAACUGCUGCAGAACUAUAAGUCGGCCACCCCAAGGGAUCCCUGCCUAUAGCAUCGAGUUUUGUAUCAUUUUCAUGUCUAUGGAGCCCACAGGCAGUCAGUUCUUAGAGCAAAGUUUACACAAUGGAAUUGUAAGACAGGUUGCAGUUGGUCUUUAUUAUUUAUUCAUUGUGCUUUGUUUGUGCUCUGUUCUGUUUUGCAACUCCCCAGUUUCAACAUUAAAUGGUUAUCUGGUUGCUAGGGCUUAACCUACCCUAGCAACGGGGCAAUGGUUUAUAAGGCAGAUAAUGUCAAUUAUCCUGUAGAUUGUAAGCUCUUGCAAGUAGGGCCCUCUGAUCCUAUUGUUACUCUGACUAUCCUUGUUUGUUAAACUUUUAAGAUCCCUGUUUGUUUACAUUUAUUGUGAAGCGUUGUGUAAUUUACUGGCGCUGUAUAAACGAUGAUAUUAUUUAAAGGAGAUAUUAACCCCAAAAUAAAGUGUUGCCUUAUGAAAUUCA